GAUGAAGAACGUAGCGAAAUGCGAUAAGUAAUGUGAAUUGCAGAAUUCAGUGAAUCAUCGAAUCUUUGAACGCACAUUGCGCCCGCCAGUAUUCUGGCGGGCAUGCUUGUUCGAGCGUCAUUACAACCCUCAGGCCCCCGGGCCUGGCGUUGGGGAUCGGCGGAAGCCCCCUGUGGGCACACGCCGUCCCUCAAAUACAGUGGCGGUCCCGCCGCAGCUUCCAUUGCGUAGUAGCUAACACCUCGCAACUGGAGAGCGGCGCGGCCAUGCCGUAAAACACCCAACUUCUGAAUGUUGACCUCGAAUCAGGUAGGAAUACCCGCUGAACUUAAGCAUAUCAAUAAGCGGAGGA
This 352-nucleotide unclassified non-coding RNA is filed under the name soil metagenome. RNAcentral describes it as "partial contains 5.8S ribosomal RNA, internal transcribed spacer 2, and large subunit ribosomal RNA". The stretch from base 1 to 120 matches the Rfam family "5.8S ribosomal RNA", at positions 35 to 154 of the family's 154-position model. The record is from RNAcentral.